GUGGGGAAUCUUCCGCAAUGGACGAAAGUCUGACGGAGCAACGCCGCGUGAGUGAAGAAGGUUUUCGGAUCGUAAAGCUCUUUCGUUAGGGACGAACGUGCUCUUUGUGAAUAAUGAGGAGUAAUGACGGUACCUAAAUAAGAAGCCACGGCUAACUACGUGCCAGCAGCCGCGGUAAUACGUAGGUGGCAAGCGUUGUCCGGAAUUAUUGGGCGUAAAGCGCGAGCAGGCGGGAUAUCAAGUCUGUCUUAAAAGUGCGAGGCUCAACCUCGUGAGGGGACAGAAACUGGUAUUCUUGAGUGUCGGAGAGGAAAGUGGAAUUCCAAGUGUAGCGGUGAAAUGCGUAGAGAUUUGGAAGAACACCAGUGGCGAAGGCGACUUUCUGGACGAUGUCUGACGCUGAGGCGCGAAAGCUAGGGGAGCGAACGGGAUUAGAAACCCGGGUAGUCC
This 450-nucleotide ribosomal RNA is filed under the name uncultured bacterium. RNAcentral describes it as "partial 16S ribosomal RNA". It matches the Rfam family "Bacterial small subunit ribosomal RNA", at positions 354 to 796 of the family's 1533-position model. The record is from RNAcentral.